Molecule: transfer RNA, 67 nt
Filed under: Marmota monax (woodchuck)
Lineage: Eukaryota; Metazoa; Chordata; Mammalia; Rodentia; Sciuridae
Description: tRNA.Ala
Source: RNAcentral
GGUUAUAGCUUAGCGGUAGAGCGCUUGCCUCGCACAUGCAAGGUCCUGGGUUUGAUCCUCAGCACCA